This is a long non-coding RNA of Ruditapes philippinarum (Manila clam), 932 nucleotides long. RefSeq lists it as uncharacterized. NCBI's taxonomy places the organism in Eukaryota, Metazoa, Mollusca, Bivalvia, Venerida, Veneridae. The transcript is spliced from 3 exons. The record is from RefSeq and is a predicted model, not a curated record.
AGACAAUGGCAUAUUAUAUUGAUGUUGAGCAUGGUGCCGCUUUUGAAGUUUCUUUUGCAUCAGAGGGAUCUGAAGAUUUUUAUAUUUACGGAACAUUCGUAUCCAAACAACAUAAUUAUUUGGUGCAACCACCGAGGGAUAACCGAAGUACUUACACAGUAGCGCUAAUGGAAGAAAAGCUGACAACAUCGUUUGAUUAUAUUAAAUUGCCAGACACAGACGCUAAUAUUACUGAAGAGAAGAUGCAGAAUCGCUCAAAGCAGACAAUAAAUACCAGAGAAAAGCGACAGACGGCCGACUACGAGAUCGAAAUUUUCUUCGUGCUUGACUAUGCACUUUACAAAUGGUAUUUUUAUUUAUUUAUUUUUAUACGCCCGUGUGAAUAACGGGUCGUAUUAUAGUUCCCUCCUGGAGGGCGGCUGGGGGACAUCCGAUUUUUGUUCGGAGCAUAUCUCCUACACUCAUAAAGGAACUUUAAUGAAACUUAAUACAAAUGUUCACCACUAUAAAAAGUCCUGUCCCGUGCAUGAACCAGAUCUCUAGGUCAAAGGCCAAGGUCACGCUUAGAGGUCGUAGAAAAACGCUUGACCGGAGCAAAACUUCUACAUGCAUAGAGGGAUUUCAAUAUAACUUGACACAAAUGUUCACUUUUGUAAGACAAAGUGUCGCCUUACAAAAUUUAGGUCCCUGCGACCAAGGUUAAGGUCACACACAGGCGUAAAAACUCAGAUAAAAAUAUAAAAAUGUGUGUUGGGACCAUUUAGUCAUUAUUUAUUGAGGGAAACUCAAAUGGUCAUUUUAUGACUACUGAUGUGAAACAUGUAAUUUAGGUUAAUAUUUGAAAGGCCAAGGUCACUUUUAAAAGAUAAUUGUCAAUGUCACUUAAGAUAAUAAAAUAUAGAGAUUUUCUUCAGAGCAUAACUUUACACAUA